RNAcentral lists this long non-coding RNA (311 nucleotides) under Homo sapiens (human). RNAcentral's name for it is "HSALNT0357779". Lineage: Eukaryota; Metazoa; Chordata; Mammalia; Primates; Hominidae. The record is from RNAcentral.
UGGCUUCAAAAAUUGGGUAGUGGCUUGCAGGAUCCUAUAGACAGCUCACAAUUACCUUUUAAAAAGAUACAUUUUCUGGGCCAGGCAUGGUGGCUCACACCUGUAAUCACAGCACUUUGGGAGGCCAAGGCAGGUGGAUCAACUGAGGUCAGGAGUUUGAGACCAGCCUAGCUAAUGUAGUGAAAUCCUGUCUCUACUAAAAAUACAAAAAUUAGCUGGGCAUGAGCCACCGCACCCGGCCUCAAAGUGAUAUUUGUGCACACAGUGCAUUUAUGAAGGACUUGAAAUUACUGGGCUUCUCUGUAUCCCCC